Neopsephotus bourkii (Bourke's parrot) is the source of this 515-nucleotide long non-coding RNA. RefSeq lists it as uncharacterized. NCBI's taxonomy places the organism in Eukaryota, Metazoa, Chordata, Aves, Psittaciformes, Psittacidae. The transcript has 3 exons. The record is from RefSeq and is a predicted model, not a curated record.
AGGAUUUCAAACAUCUUCUGCACCCUCAAGUCCGUGGAGAACUGAAUGCGCAGCUGUGCCAACAGAGAGUGCAUGGAGCAUCAGAGGCAGAAUCCUGAGGCACAGAACACCUCAGUGAAGCCAGCAGCAGUUACAGCAGGAAAGAUGGGGGCUUGGGUACCUUCUCAUCACUGAUGGAAGAGGAAAAGGUGACUGAUGCAGGGAAGCAUGAGACAGCUGAGCCUCGGGAACAAGCGGCCCCAUGCCAGCAGCUGCAGCAGCACCAGCACCUUCCAGAACACCCUGGGAUGGAAAGCCAGCUCACCCCCCACACUACCUCCUCCUCACGGGGCCUUUGGGAGCCCGCCCCACUGGAAACCCACUCGUGGCUUGCACAGAGCUCAGGUUCAGCUCUGAAAUAAGCACAGACAUCAUAACGAAAGCUGUUUUCCCCAUUCACAUCAGCAGCUCUCACAGCAAGGACUCGGUCCCCACCAGCUCUGCAGGGCUCAUGGCUCUGCUCAGGCACACCAGCA